AGAGUUUGAUCCUGGCUCAGGAUGAACGCUGGCGGCGUGCCUAAUACAUGCAAGUCGAGCGAACGGACGAGAAGCUUGCUUCUCUGAUGUUAGCGGCGGACGGGUGAGUAACACGUGGAUAACCUACCUAUAAGACUGGGAUAACUUCGGGAAACCGGAGCUAAUACCGGAUAAUAUUUUGAACCGCAUGGUUCAAAAGUGAAAGACGGUCUUGCUGUCACUUAUAGAUGGAUCCGCGCUGCAUUAGCUAGUUGGUAAGGUAACGGCUUACCAAGGCAACGAUGCAUAGCCGACCUGAGAGGGUGAUCGGCCACACUGGAACUGAGACACGGUCCAGACUCCUACGGGAGGCAGCAGUAGGGAAUCUUCCGCAAUGGGCGAAAGCCUGACGGAGCAACGCCGCGUGAGUGAUGAAGGUCUUCGGAUCGUAAAACUCUGUUAUUAGGGAAGAACAUAUGUGUAAGUAACUGUGCACAUCUUGACGGUACCUAAUCAGAAAGCCACGGCUAACUACGUGCCAGCAGCCGCGGUAAUACGUAGGUGGCAAGCGUUAUCCGGAAUUAUUGGGCGUAAAGCGCGCGUAGGCGGUUUUUUAAGUCUGAUGUGAAAGCCCACGGCUCAACCGUGGAGGGUCAUUGGAAACUGGAAAACUUGAGUGCAGAAGAGGAAAGUGGAAUUCCAUGUGUAGCGGUGAAAUGCGCAGAGAUAUGGAGGAACACCAGUGGCGAAGGCGACUUUCUGGUCUGUAACUGACGCUGAUGUGCGAAAGCGUGGGGAUCAAACAGGAUUAGAUACCCUGGUAGUCCACGCCGUAAACGAUGAGUGCUAAGUGUUAGGGGGUUUCCGCCCCUUAGUGCUGCAGCUAACGCAUUAAGCACUCCGCCUGGGGAGUACGACCGCAAGGUUGAAACUCAAAGGAAUUGACGGGGACCCGCACAAGCGGUGGAGCAUGUGGUUUAAUUCGAAGCAACGCGAAGAACCUUACCAAAUCUUGACAUCCUUUGACAACUCUAGAGAUAGAGCCUUCCCCUUCGGGGGACAAAGUGACAGGUGGUGCAUGGUUGUCGUCAGCUCGUGUCGUGAGAUGUUGGGUUAAGUCCCGCAACGAGCGCAACCCUU
RNAcentral lists this ribosomal RNA (1119 nucleotides) under Staphylococcus aureus. RNAcentral describes it as "bacterial SSU rRNA". It matches the Rfam family "Bacterial small subunit ribosomal RNA", at positions 8 to 1106 of the family's 1533-position model. Lineage: Bacteria; Bacillati; Bacillota; Bacilli; Caryophanales; Staphylococcaceae. RNAcentral also lists the same sequence under 10 other names. The record is from RNAcentral.